Molecule: RNA transcript, 977 nt
Organism: Episyrphus balteatus (marmalade hoverfly)
Lineage: Eukaryota; Metazoa; Arthropoda; Insecta; Diptera; Syrphidae
Exons: 2
Source: RefSeq, a predicted model, not a curated record
UGUAUAUCUCAUCUCCUUACUCCCAUUAUUGAAUUCGAUCUAAGCGCCCUCGCGACCACUCAGGUAUUUGAUUGACAUUUGGGGUGUAGCGAACAAACUAAAAAAUUUCACUUCAUGAUAGUACUAUAGAUUUUAUAUACAAAGUACUAGGCUUUACCUUAGAGCUUAAAUGUAACAGGAACAUAAUUUAGUUCAUACCUUGAACAUAUUUCAAAUCAAAUCAGACGCCUUUCAAGUUACCCUCAUUCACAUCUAGAUGGCCAACCACAAUAUAUUCAACGACGCCGUAGAUCUAGUACAUUUUCCCCAUUUUUGGCUGUGGAAUUUAUUUUUUUUUGUCCACUCUACCACCAAUUUUCAACAGUAAAAAAAAAUUAAUUUCGCCGCAUUUCUCGUUGACGUUACAAAAAUUGUGUUCUCUCCAAUUUGUUUAUUAAAAUAUUGUUUUCCCUCAAAAAAAAAAUAUUUAAAUAGCAGAAAAAUCAAUGAAAUUUUAAGUGAAUUUAAAAUGAAAUUAGUGUGCAUUGUGAAAAUGUGAUAGAGCUUGAGCUAAACGAAAUGUUUUAUUUUAUCCCCUUGGCAUAUUAAAUGGCCGUGUGCAAAAAAUGUUUUAUGGAAAUAAAUAAAAUGGCAGUCAAAUGUUAAAUAGUUUUGAUAAAGGAAAAUGUGUUUGAUAUUGUUUUAUAAAUAAAAAAAAAUAGCUACGUCGUGAUGUGUGAACCUGUAAAGAAGCCUACAUAAUAUAUUUUUUACACAACUCGCGCGCAUACCCUCUUCCCGAUUGUGCACAAUUUUAAUCCACAAUCCAAACCGCCUCUGUGCUCCCAGUCAUCAACGUUUUUUGGCUUUGAUUUCUUUCUUUCUUUCUUUAUUUUUUUGAUGUUUGUUUACAAAUUAUUGUUGAAAUUAUUUUUAUAACUACUUUAUUGUGAUUUUAUAUAAAUAAAGUUUUCUAUUAGAAAUGUGUUAAAAAGUGA